UGCCUCAGUAACGGCGAGUGAAGCGGCAAGAGCUCAAAUUUGAAAUCUGGCCCCUCCGGGGUCCGAGUUGUAAUUUGCAGAGGAUGCUUCGGGUGCGGCCCCUGUCUAAGUGCCCUGGAACGGGCCGUCAGAGAGGGUGAGAAUCCCGUCUUGGGCAGGGUGCCCGUGCCCGUGUGAAGCUCCUUCGACGAGUCGAGUUGUUUGGGAAUGCAGCUCAAAAUGGGUGGUAAAUUUCAUCUAAAGCUAAAUACCGGCCGGAGACCGAUAGCGCACAAGUAGAGUGAUCGAAAGAUGAAAAGCACUUUGAAAAGAGAGUUAAACAGCACGUGAAAUUGUUGAAAGGGAAGCGCUUGCAACCAGACUCGGCCUCGGGGUUCAGCCAGCAUUCGUGCUGGUGUACUUCCCCGGGGCCGGGCCAGCGUCGGUUUGGGCGGCCGGUCAAAGGCCCCAGGAAUGUAUCGUCCUCCGGGACGUCUUAUAGCCUGGGGUGCAAUGCGGCCAGCCUGGACCGAGGAACGCGCUUCGGCACGGACGCUGGCGUAAUGGUCGCAAACGACCCGUCUUGAAACACGGACCAAGGAGUCUAACAUCUACGCGAGUGUUCGGGUGUCAAACCCGUACGCGCAGUGAAAGCGAACGGAGGUGGGAGCCCCCCCGGGGCGCACCAUCGACCGAUCCUGAUGUCUUCGGAUGGAUUUGAGUACGAGCGUAGCUGUGGGGACCCGAAAGAUGGUGAACUAUGCCUGAAUAGGGUGAAGCCAGAGGAAACUCUGGUGGAGGCUCGCAGCGGUUCUGACGUGCAAAUCGAUCGUCAAAUUUGGGUAUAGGGGCGAAAGACUAAUCGA
RNAcentral lists this ribosomal RNA (845 nucleotides) under Aspergillus sydowii. RNAcentral describes it as "partial 28S ribosomal RNA". It matches the Rfam family "Eukaryotic large subunit ribosomal RNA", at positions 76 to 938 of the family's 3401-position model. Lineage: Eukaryota; Fungi; Ascomycota; Eurotiomycetes; Eurotiales; Aspergillaceae. The record is from RNAcentral.